AUACUUACCUGGAAGGGGAGAUACCAUGAUUAUGCAGGUGAUUUCUCCAGAGUGAGGUUAAUCCAUUGCACUCCGUGUGUAUUGACCCUAAAUUCGAGGAAACUCGACUGCAUAAAUUUGUGGAUGGGGGAACUACUCCCUG
This 142-nucleotide small nuclear RNA is filed under the name Mus caroli (Ryukyu mouse). RNAcentral's name for it is "predicted gene, 23100 (MGP_CAROLIEiJ_G0035486.1)". It matches the Rfam family "U1 spliceosomal RNA". From Rfam's summary of the family: U1 is a small nuclear RNA (snRNA) component of the spliceosome (involved in pre-mRNA splicing). Its 5' end forms complementary base pairs with the 5' splice junction, thus defining the 5' donor site of an intron. The record is from RNAcentral. Lineage: Eukaryota; Metazoa; Chordata; Mammalia; Rodentia; Muridae.